RNAcentral lists this transfer RNA (72 nucleotides) under Actinoalloteichus hoggarensis. Its description in RNAcentral is "tRNA-Gln". It matches the Rfam family "tRNA". Rfam says of the family: Transfer RNA (tRNA) molecules are approximately 80 nucleotides in length. Their secondary structure includes four short double-helical elements and three loops (D, anti-codon, and T loops). Further hydrogen bonds mediate the characteristic L-shaped molecular structure. tRNAs have two regions of fundamental functional importance: the anti-codon, which is responsible for specific mRNA codon recognition, and the 3' end, to which the tRNAs corresponding amino acid is attached (by aminoacyl-tRNA synthetases). tRNAs cope with the degeneracy of the genetic code in two manners: having more than one tRNA (with a specific anti-codon) for a particular amino acid; and 'wobble' base-pairing, i.e. permitting non-standard base-pairing at the 3rd anti-codon position. The record is from RNAcentral. Lineage: Bacteria; Bacillati; Actinomycetota; Actinomycetes; Pseudonocardiales; Pseudonocardiaceae.
UCCGCCGUGGUGUAACGGCAGCACCUCGGAUUUUGGUUCCGAUAGUCCAGGUUCGAAUCCUGGCGGCGGAGC